GACGGUGCCCCAUCUUACUAAAGGAGCCUGUUCUAUAAUCGAUAAUCCCCGCUACACCUCACCACUUCUUGCUUCCAUGCAGCCUGUAUACUUCCGUCGCAAGCUUGCCGUAUGAAUGACACUUAGUAGGCUCAAUGACUCAGUUUCGCCAGCACGUCAGGUCAAGGUGCAGCUUAUGAAGUGGAAAGCAAUGGGCUACAAUCUCUAAUUUAGAGUAAACGAACAACCAUCUGAAAUUAUGGUCACGAAGGGGGAUUUAGUAGUAAAGGGGGAAAAUAGUGCCCCCUUUAACAGAGACCGUGGGACGCGUACAAACCGCCCGUCACCCUCUUCAACAGCAUAUUAACAGUUAAUAACACACACCCGCACUUUAGAAGAGGCAAGUCGUAACACGGUAAGUGUACUGGAAAGUGCACUUGGAUAUGCAAAGUGUAGCUUAGUAAAGCCUUCCGCUUACACCGGAAAGACAUCUGUUAAACCCGGAUCACUUUGAGCUAUUAAUCUA
Molecule: ribosomal RNA, 505 nt
Filed under: Boophis ulftunni
Lineage: Eukaryota; Metazoa; Chordata; Amphibia; Anura; Mantellidae
Description: partial 12S ribosomal RNA
Rfam family: Bacterial small subunit ribosomal RNA (bases 1-432)
Source: RNAcentral